RNAcentral lists this ribosomal RNA (253 nucleotides) under uncultured bacterium. Its description in RNAcentral is "partial 16S ribosomal RNA". It matches the Rfam family "Bacterial small subunit ribosomal RNA", at positions 524 to 776 of the family's 1533-position model. The record is from RNAcentral.
UACGGAGGAUCCGAGCGUUAUCCGGAUUUAUUGGGUUUAAAGGGAGCGUAGGUGGAUUGUUAAGUCAGUUGUGAAAGUUUGCGGCUCAACUGUAAAAUUGCAGUUGAAACUGGCAGUCUUGAGUACAGUAGAGGUGGGCGGAAUUCGUGGUGUAGCGGUGAAAUGCCUAGAUAUCACGAAGAACUCCGAUUGCGAAGGCAGCUCACUGGACUGCAACUGACACUGAGGCUCGAAAGUGUGGGUAUCAAACAGG